RNAcentral lists this ribosomal RNA (515 nucleotides) under uncultured bacterium. RNAcentral describes it as "partial 16S ribosomal RNA". It matches the Rfam family "Bacterial small subunit ribosomal RNA", at positions 28 to 523 of the family's 1533-position model. The record is from RNAcentral.
GAUGAACGCUGGCGGCGUGCCUAAUACAUGCAAGUCGAGCGAAUGGAUUAAGAUCUUGCUCUUAUGAAGUUAGCGGCGGACGUGUGAGUAACACGUGGGUAACCUUCCCAUACGACUGGGAUAACUCCGGGAAACCGGUGCUAAUACCGGAUAACAUUUUGAACCUCCUGGUUCGAAAUUGAAAGGCGGCUUCGGCUGUCACUUAUGGAUAUACCCUCGUCGAAUUAGCUAGUUGGUGAGGUAACGGCUAAACAAGGCAACGAUGCGUAGCCGACCUGAGAGGGUGAUCGGCAACACUGGGACUGAGAAAAGGCCCAGACUCCUACGGGAGGCAGAAGUAGGGAAUCUUCAGAAAUGGACGAAAGUCUGACGGAGCAACGCCGCGUGAGUGAUGAAGGCUUUCGGGUCGUAAAACUCUGUUGUUAGGGAAGAACAAGUGCUAGUUGAAUAAGCUGGCACCUUGACGGUACCUAACCAGAAAGCCACGGCUAACUACGUGCCAGCCGCCGCAGUAA